This 253-nucleotide ribosomal RNA is filed under the name uncultured bacterium. RNAcentral describes it as "partial 16S ribosomal RNA". It matches the Rfam family "Bacterial small subunit ribosomal RNA", at positions 524 to 776 of the family's 1533-position model. The record is from RNAcentral.
UACAGAGGUCUCAAGCGUUGUUCGGAUUCAUUGGGCGUAAAGCGCGUGUAGGCGGCUGUACAAGUCAAAGGUGAAAUCCCUCGGCUCAACUGAGGAACUGCCUUUGAAACUGUACGGCUUGAGGCCGGGAGGGGGUAGCGGAAUUCCCAGUGUAGCGGUGAAAUGCGUAGAUACUGGGAGGAACACCAGUGGCGAAGGCGGCUACCUGGACCGGUUCUGACGCUGAGGCGCGAAAGCGUGGGUAGCAAACAGG